UACGUAGGUGGCAAGCGUUGUCCGGAAUUAUUGGGCGUAAAGCGCGCGCAGGCGGUCCUUUAAGUCUGAUGUGAAAGCCCACGGCUCAACUGUGGAGGGUCAUUGGAAACUGGGGGACUUGAGUGCAGAAGAGGAGAGUGGAAUUCCACGUGUAGCGGUGAAAUGCGUAGAGAUGUGGAGGAACACCAGUGGCGAAGGCGACUCUCUGGUCUGUAACUGACGCUGAGGCGCGAAAGCGUGGGGAGCAAACAGG
This 253-nucleotide ribosomal RNA is filed under the name uncultured bacterium. RNAcentral describes it as "partial 16S ribosomal RNA". It matches the Rfam family "Bacterial small subunit ribosomal RNA", at positions 524 to 776 of the family's 1533-position model. The record is from RNAcentral.